This 253-nucleotide ribosomal RNA is filed under the name uncultured bacterium. RNAcentral describes it as "partial 16S ribosomal RNA". It matches the Rfam family "Bacterial small subunit ribosomal RNA", at positions 524 to 776 of the family's 1533-position model. The record is from RNAcentral.
GACAGAGGGUGCAAACGUUGUUCGGAAUUACUGGGCAUAAAGCGCACGUAGGUGGUUCGUUAAGUCGCGUGUGAAAUCCCCCGGCUCAACCGGGGAAUUGCGGGCGAUACUGGCGAGCUGGAGAUCGGGAGGGGUGAGUGGAACUCCAGGUGGAGCGGUGAAAUGCGUAGAUAUCUGGAGGAACACCGGUGGCGAAAGCGACUCACUGGCCCGAUACUGACACUGAGGUGCGAAAGCUAGGGUAGCAAACGGG